Molecule: long non-coding RNA, 1254 nt
Filed under: Gopherus agassizii (Agassiz's desert tortoise)
Lineage: Eukaryota; Metazoa; Chordata; Testudines; Testudinidae
Description: lncRNA (ENSGAGG00000014361.1)
Source: RNAcentral
AUGACAGAACCGAUAUGUCCUCAACCCCCGGCACCGCCAGUGCGGGUUGUUCAAUCCAUCGGCAAGCCAGCCCUCGUAAGGCCUCCUUCUGUCGGUCCACCAGAGAGACGUCAUUCCAGAUCACAGUCUCGCAGACGCUCUCGAUCACGUCAUUCCUGCUCCCGGCGCUGCUCACAGUGCCAGCACCGCUCUACAUCACGGUACCGGUCACACUCGCGGCGACGUUCAACAUCUCAUUCACCGGACAGAUACUCCCGGUACCGAUCUGGCUCUCGGCACCAAUCUCGGUACCGUGUAUCCCACAGUCGCUCCAGGCGAAGGAACUCGAGAUCCCGGUCAACCUCCUGGCACCGGUACAGUAGAAGGUCCCAGUCUCGCUCCCGGUACCGCCAUAGCUCCCGGUACUGCUGCCCGGUACCACCCUGGGAUCGAGCGUCAAGAACAAUGGCGCCCUCCCAGGGUCUCUCGGCACCACCGUGGCCUUCGAGACACACAUCAGUAUCUUCUCAGUCUGGCAGCGCAUCCUACCAUCAGGAGGGGGAAUCUGAUGUCCCCAGCCAAUAUCUGCAGGGACAAAGCCACAAACAAGGGCCUCAUCACUGGUACCACCAGGCCCAAGGUGCCCCAUCAGUGGCUCAACACUCGGCCCCAUCAGAACACCGGGUACCAGAGGCAACAGUGAGCCGCCCUCCCCCUAUGGGCACAGACGAGGCUCCAAUUCCCUCUGCAGUCACCGAGGUUCCACCUGAUGCAGAUGACGCCCCUCAAGUGCACGGCCCACCUCAGGACCCGUUGGUCCCGGGCCUCUCCUCCUCCUCACCUGAUGAGGCAGUAGCAGGAACAUCCUCCUCAGGCCCUCCACCAAUCGAUCUCAGAGCCCAUCAAGACCUCUUGAGGUGGGUGGCCCAGAAUAUGAACUUGCAGGUGGAGGAGGUCACUGAAAUAGCGGACCCAGUCAUGGACGUCUUAUUGGCUGAUGCACACACUAGAGUGGCUCUCCCGUUCAUCUGCACUAUACAAGCCAAUGCGGANCUUCCCUCUUCAAGGACCCCUCUCACGAGCAAGUCCUCUUACAAGAGUCCAGGCGCUCCUAAAACUGGGAGACAUAGAGGAGGUGCCAGAAGACAUGAGGGGCAAGGGGUUCUAUUCCUGCUACUUCUUAAUCCCCAAGGCAAAGGGAGGUCNCUCAAAGGGGCACGAAUAUGUCUACACCCACCCACCACCCUGCUCUCUGGUUGUCCAAUCAGUGAAUGA